Mauremys mutica (yellowpond turtle) is the source of this 824-nucleotide long non-coding RNA. RefSeq lists it as uncharacterized. The record is from RefSeq and is a predicted model, not a curated record. The transcript has 3 exons. NCBI's taxonomy places the organism in Eukaryota, Metazoa, Chordata, Testudines, Geoemydidae.
CAAAACAAGUUCAUAGACCUCAAGCCUCAUGCUAACUGCUAAAGCCAAUGUCUUACAGGAUACAAGCCUGUAGGUUCAUUGCAUUACUGCUGAAUAUAAUAAACCCGAAUAUAAUGCAAAGCAGUGAAUAUAAUAUAGGUAAGCUGGCCCACUGAAGCAUGCUGCCUUUCAUUAGAGCAGGCUGAUUGACUGGUCAGGUUUGUAAGCAUGUCGCCAGGUCACCCUCCCCACCCUCCCGCCCCCCUCCAGUAGCAGUGAUUUGGAGCACCCAGGAUGUCACUGACCUCAUUCAGUGAUCACCUUCUCCACUUCAUCUCAAACCCUGUUGACCUCACCUUCAUCUUUGUCUGCACGCCCUCAAGGAACCCUGACCAUGUGUCCUGGAAACUCAUCCUCAACACCAGCACCAUCUAGCACAUCCCCUGAACAUUCUCUUCCUCUGCUUAUUCCCUUGCAAGCCUGCCUUCUACCAGCCCCCUCUGAUGUUCUCCCCAUCUGCAGCCUUCCUUGGAUCUGGUGCGAUUAUACAGGAGUGGGGGGUUUAAGGUAAAACAAGUCAAGUAGAGUACACUGCACCUUGGGGCCUGCACAGACUCUUCUUCCCAUGGGUGAUACAGUCCAAUAUCUUCUGUCUACUCCGUGGUGGAGUGCAUCUGGAGCAUGUAGCACUGCUACAUGCAUGAGAACUCAGAUAUUAGGAAGGGGAUAGAAGAUCAGCUAACCGUGUAAUCAUGACAGGCUCCUAAAUCUCGUAGGUGCUUUUGAAAAUGUUACUUUGUAGCUCUUUCGCACUUAAUGGAUGUACAUCUGUUUAUACCCACUGA